Molecule: ribosomal RNA, 856 nt
Filed under: uncultured Bacillota bacterium
Lineage: Bacteria; Bacillati; Bacillota
Description: bacterial SSU rRNA
Rfam family: Bacterial small subunit ribosomal RNA
Source: RNAcentral
CAAGUCGAACGCGAAAGCCCCGCAAGGGGCAAGUAGAGUGGCAAACGGGUGAGUAACACGUGGGUGACCUGCCUUCGAGCGGGGGAUAACGUCCCGAAAGGGACGCUAAUACCGCAUGACAUCCUGCCUUUGAACAGGCGGAGAUCAAAGCUGGGGAUCGCAAGACCUAGCACUCGAAGAGGGGCCCGCGCCUGAUUAGCUAGUUGGUGAGGUAAUGGCUCACCAAGGCAACGAUCAGUAGCCGGCCUGAGAGGGCGGACGGCCACACUGGGACUGAGACACGGCCCAGACUCCUACGGGAGGCAGCAGUGGGGAAUUGUUCGCAAUGGGCGCAAGCCUGACGACGCAACGCCGCGUGGAGGAUGAAGAUCUUCGGGUCGUAAACUCCUUUCGAUCGAGACGAAUUCCUCCGGGGCGAAUAACUCCGGAGGGUGACGGUACCGAGAGAAGAAGCCCCGGCUAACUCCGUGCCAGCAGCCGCGGUAAUACGGGGGGGGCAAGCGUUGUUCGGAAUUACUGGGCGUAAAGGGCUCGUAGGCGGCCAACUAAGUCGGACGUGAAAUCCCUCGGCUUAACCGGGGAACUGCGUCCGAUACUGGAUGGCUUGAGUUUGGGAGAGGGAUGCGGAAUUCCAGGUGUAGCGGUGAAAUGCGUAGAUAUCUGGAGGAACACCGGUGGCGAAGGCGGCAUCCUGGACCAAUUACUGACGCUGAGUGAGCGAAAGCCAGGGGAGCAAACGGGAUUAGAUACCCCGGUAGUCCUGGCCCUAAACGAUGAAUGCUUGGUGUGGCGGGUAUCGAUCCCUGCCGUGCCGAAGCUAACGCAUUAAGCAUUCCGCCUGGGGAGUACGGUCGCA